AACGAACGCUGGCGGCAGGCCUAACACAUGCGAGUCGAGCGCCCUUUCGGGGGAGCGGCGGACGGGUGAGUACCGCGUGGGAAUAUGCCCUUCUCUACGGAAUAGCCUCGGGAAACUGAGAGUAAUACCGUAUACGCCCUGUGGGGGAAAGAUUUAUCGGGGAAGGAUUAGCCCGCGUUGGAUUAGGUAGUUGGUGGGGUAAUGGCCUACCAAGCCGACGAUCCAUAGCUGGUUUGAGAGGAUGAUCAGCCACACUGGGACUGAGACACGGCCCAGACUCCUACGGGAGGCAGCAGUGGGGAAUCUUAGACAAUGGGGGCAACCCUGAUCUAGCCAUGCCGCGUGAGUGAUGAAGGCCUUAGGGUUGUAAAGCUCUUUCAGCUGGGAAGAUAAUGACGGUACCAGCAGAAGAAGCCCCGGCUAACUCCGUG
This 431-nucleotide ribosomal RNA is filed under the name uncultured bacterium. RNAcentral's name for it is "partial 16S ribosomal RNA". It matches the Rfam family "Bacterial small subunit ribosomal RNA", at positions 29 to 507 of the family's 1533-position model. The record is from RNAcentral.